GUUAGAUAGGGUAGAGGCAGAAGUAGAGGCAAUUAAACAUGAAGGAUUGUGAAGGCAAAAGAUGAACCAGCCAGCUGUAGUCUCUGGAUGCAUAAAUGGAGAAGACCCGGAGAGAAAAACUGACGUUCUCUGUGUUUACCUGUAAGCACAGGUAAGUACAGAACCUUCUGGGAGAGCCCACUGAUUUUGGUGGCAACAGCCUUCUUCAAGUGAAGAUGGGAGGGAGUGAGCCUGCAUCUUUAAGGAUCACACAAUCUCAUUUUAAUUAUUAACUCGCUGCAUUAUUAACGGACCAGCUGUGUGCAGCAGAAAACCAAGGGUCAGAACUCCAGGCCAAAGAUCCAUUCCUGGUGCCACCUCCAGCCCAGCGGUCUCGAACUCUUCUCAGGACCCUUUCAGAACUUGAUGAAUGACAGCGAGACUUCCUUCCAGAAAAGUGCACGAUUUGUCUGCAAUUUCGGGAUUCGGCUAGGAAUACGGCUGCAGGCCGCAACCUGCCAUGCUGUUCUUAAGUGCCCAAGUGCUGGUGACAAGAGGGUUUCCCUUUGCCAUCUGGACUUGAUUGCCUUAGAGAUGGAGAUUGCACAGUCCAUGAAGACACACAACACUCUCCGAAGUCACUGCUCCAUGCUGUGCCCCUCAUCCCUGCCUGGGAGCUCGGUAUCUCUACCUCCCACUUUACUAACCAGCACCUCUGCCUUCACUCAGAGCGCUCAGGACAUGGGUGUAAGCCACUCAGAAACAGUUCUUGAAUCUCAGGUGCAAUACUGGCCUCCUAAAUCCUAGCGAUUCCCAGAGGAGUGAGAGGUGGGAGGUGGCAAGGAUGAAAGGCUGACUUUAGCUCUGCAUUUGGAGCCUCUUGAAUCAUCUUUGUUUGAUGGGAAACUGGGAAGACUGGGGGAGGAUAAUGGAUUAAGCUCAUUCCAUUGAAAAGAGCUCACUCAGAUAUCAGGAAAAAGCCAGAUGAUAAUACUAGAUUUACAAACCGCAGGCGGUUUGUCUUCUCAUCCCCUACAGGCUGAAAGCUCCAGGGUCAUGACAUUUUAGGCUUCUUGAGGCAGAGGGAUUAGAGUAUGGGCUUUGGACCCAGGCAGCCCUGGGUUCAAAUCCCAGCUCUACCAUUUACUGCGUGUUAAACGUUCAUACAUUGCUUAACCCCUUGAGCUUCAGUUUUCUUAUCUGGAAAACGGGUAUGACAUCAGCUGCUUCUCAGAGUUGUCCUGAGGAUGGGAGAUGAUGCCUAUAAAAAUGUCAAGGUCAGCUGGGCGCGGUGGCUCAAGCCUAUAAUCCCAGCACUUUGGGAGGCUGAGGUGGGCAGAUCAUGAGGUCAGGAGAUUGAGACCAUCCUGGCUAACACGGUGAAACUCGUCUCUACUAAAAAUACAAAAAAUUAGCCGGACGUGGUGGCACGUGCCUGUAGUCCCAGCUACUCCGGAGGCUGAGGCAGGAGAAUCGCUUGAACCCAGGAGGCAGAGAUUGCAGUGAGCUGAGAUUGCACCACUGCACUCCAGCCUGGAUGACAGAGCGAGACUCCGUCUCAAAAAAAAAAAAGAAAACGUCAAGGCUGUUGCCUGCCCUAUAGUCGGCACCUGCGUUCAGUAAAUAAUAAGUUCUCACUGCCACCCUCACCUUCUCCAGAUUUUCACUUUUCCCUCCCACUUUCCUCUGGAGGCUGCCUGCACUCUAAGCCAUCUCUAUGAUGUCAUCUAACCCAGAUCUUUCCAAUUCUUCCUAAGACCAGACGUUUUUCGGGGACAAUGCUGGGUGACAGCCAUCAGUCCAAGCUGUAGCCAAGGAAAGUGCUCUAUCCCUGUCUAAGGGUAAUUCCCAAGUGGGUUCCCGGUAACAGUAACGAAUGUCUGUGAGCAUUCCUUGCAACAAUUAUUAUUGUUAUUUUUGAGACGAAGUCUCACUCUGUUGCUUAGGCUGGAGUCCAGUGGCAUGAUCUUGGUUCACUGCAACCUCCACCUUCUGGGUUCAAGCGAUUCUUCUGCCUCAGCCUCCCGAGGCGCCCACCCCCACGUCCAGCUAAUUUUUCUAUUUUUAGUAGAGACGGGGUUUCACCAUGUUGGCCAGGCUGACCUCAAGUGAUCCACCCGCCUCAGCCUCCCAAAGUGCUGGGAUUACAGGCGUGAGCCACCACACCUGGCAAUAAUAAUUUUAUUUUUAAAGGAAUUCUGUGGUCAUAUUAAUUUAGGAAAUACUUAGAGAUUCACAGUGCACAUUAGCAUAUUAAGGGUUCUGAGAAAUCCUUUUAGCAAAUAAACCCAUUUAGCUUUGUUUAUGCUAACUUUCCCAUUUGAUCUGACCUGGUCGCAUCCUGUUAUCCCUCCUCUUUUCUCAGAGUGCUUUCUUUUAACUCCUCUCAAUUCAUCCUCCCAAAACCCUCUCACCCAGUUUCACAGAUGUGGAAAUGGGGUUCAGAGAGGUGAAGUGACUUGCCCGUGAUGACUCAGCUGGGUAGCACCAGAAACAGCUGCUUGCUUCCUGAGUCCAAGGCUCUUUUCUCUACAUCUGGAAGAAACAGCUGAAUACAUCCCUUUCUAGUUAAACAACCAAAGAAUCUAUCAAUCAUUGCCUGGGCUCCUGGGAUGACAUCGCCCAACAAUUUCAUUUUCUCAACAAUGGGAAAACCAGAAAAGGGAAGUGAUUUUUCCAAAAGUGACAGAAACAGGGGUGGCAGAGCCAGAACUGGGACCCAGCCUAUUAAACCCCAUGCCAGGCCAUCUUCACCCUAUGCCUGGGGCCUACCUGUCUGGCUCAAACCCCUCAGUCAUCUUCAUUACAGCUUUCUUCCUUCCAAUACUAGAAUAUAUUGUCCAAUAGAUCUUUCUGUGAUAACAGAAAUGUUCUAUAGCUGUGCUAUCCAAUAUGGCAACCACUAACUACAUGUGGCUAUUGGUCUCUUGAGACGUAUCUAGUGCAAAUAAGAAGUAAAUGUUUAAUGCUAUUUAAUUUCACUUAAAUUACACUUGAAUGGCCACAUGUGGCUAAUGCCUACCAUAUUGGACAAGGCAACUCUAGAGGUCAGAAAUCAAGGCCAGGCACAGUGACUCAUGCCUAUAAUCCCAGCAUUUUGGGAGGCUGAGGCAGGAGGAUUGCCUGAGCCCAGGAGUUCGAGACAAGCCUAGGCAACAUAGGGAGACCUCAUCUGUAUAAAAAUAGCCAGGCAUGGUGGCAUGCACCUGUAAUCCCAGCACUGUGGGAGGCCAGGGUGGGAGGAUCACUUGAGCCCAGGAGUUCAAGACCAGCCUGGGCAACAUGGCAAAUCCCCAUCUCUACAAAAAAUUAAAAAAUUAUGGUAGCCUGAGCCUGUGGUCCCAGCUACUCGGGAAACUGAGGCAGGGGGAUUGCUUGAAGUUGAGGCUGCAGUGAGCCAUGAUCCUGUCACUGCACCCCAGCCUGGGUUGACAGAGCAAGACCCUGUCUCAAAAAAGAAAAAUAAAUCAUAUCGUAUCAAGUCUACUGAGAUCCACUCAGUUUAACUAUCAUAUGAAUAGAAGAUCCUUGUAAGAACCGUUGAGGCUAAACUGCCUGGACCUUGUUGAGGGCUAAAUUCCCUUUCAUCAGGGCACAACCCGAGAUGUCUUUGCUCAAAGCUAUUUCUUCCUUCCCUGGCAGCAUCCUACCCAGCUUCUAAUCUAAGCUCAAACACACCCUCCUUCAGGAAGAUUUGCCGUUCUACCUUCUCCCCACCAAGCAGAGUGAAGGGAUUCUUCUUUGGAAC
This is a long non-coding RNA of Rhinopithecus bieti (black snub-nosed monkey), 3727 nucleotides long. NCBI's taxonomy places the organism in Eukaryota, Metazoa, Chordata, Mammalia, Primates, Cercopithecidae. The record is from Ensembl.